This 497-nucleotide ribosomal RNA is filed under the name uncultured bacterium. RNAcentral's name for it is "partial 16S ribosomal RNA". It matches the Rfam family "Bacterial small subunit ribosomal RNA", at positions 28 to 507 of the family's 1533-position model. The record is from RNAcentral.
GAUGAACGCUGGCGGCGUGCCUAAUACAUGCAAGUCGAGCGAACGGACGGGAAGCUUGCUUCUCUGAUGUUAGCGGCGGACGGGUGAGUAACACGUGGAUAACCUACCUAUAAGACUGGGAUAACUUCGGGAAACCGGAGCUAAUACCGGAUAAUAUUUUGAACCGCAUGGUUCAAAAGUGAAAGACGGUCUUGCUGUCACUUAUAGAUGGAUCCGCGCUGCAUUAGCUAGUUGGUAAGGUAACGGCUUACCAAGGCAACGAUGCAUAGCCGACCUGAGAGGGUGAUCGGCCACACGGGAACUUAGACACGGUCCAGACUCCUACGGGAGGCAGCAGUAGGGAAUCUUCCGCAAUGGGCGAAAGCCUGACGGAGCAACGCCGCGUGAGUGAUGAAGGUCUUCGGAUCGUAAAACUCUGUUAUUAGGGAAGAACAUAUGUGUAAGUAACUGUGCACAUCUUGACGGUACCUAAUCAGAAAGCCACGGCUAACUACGUG